GCCUCGUUAGCUCAGUGGUAGAGCACUGGUCUCGUAAACCAGGGGUCGUGAGUUCAAUCCUCACACGAGGCA
RNAcentral lists this transfer RNA (72 nucleotides) under Belgica antarctica. Its description in RNAcentral is "tRNA-Thr for anticodon CGU". It matches the Rfam family "tRNA". From Rfam's summary of the family: Transfer RNA (tRNA) molecules are approximately 80 nucleotides in length. Their secondary structure includes four short double-helical elements and three loops (D, anti-codon, and T loops). Further hydrogen bonds mediate the characteristic L-shaped molecular structure. tRNAs have two regions of fundamental functional importance: the anti-codon, which is responsible for specific mRNA codon recognition, and the 3' end, to which the tRNAs corresponding amino acid is attached (by aminoacyl-tRNA synthetases). tRNAs cope with the degeneracy of the genetic code in two manners: having more than one tRNA (with a specific anti-codon) for a particular amino acid; and 'wobble' base-pairing, i.e. permitting non-standard base-pairing at the 3rd anti-codon position. The record is from RNAcentral. RNAcentral also lists the same sequence under 1 other name. Lineage: Eukaryota; Metazoa; Arthropoda; Insecta; Diptera; Chironomidae.